Molecule: non-coding RNA, 19 nt
Filed under: Rattus norvegicus (Norway rat)
Lineage: Eukaryota; Metazoa; Chordata; Mammalia; Rodentia; Muridae
Source: RNAcentral
CCGGCUGAGAUUCUAGAGA